UGGCUUGCCGCUAUCCCACUGCAAGCAGUAAGCUAGUCACAUAUCCAAAGCUAAGCAGUGUCAGGCCAGGUUAGUAUUUGGAUGAGAGAUCUAGUAGAAAAAUCCACCCGCCUGGUGGUGAAUCAC
This 126-nucleotide ribosomal RNA is filed under the name Chrysemys picta bellii (western painted turtle). The record is from RNAcentral. Lineage: Eukaryota; Metazoa; Chordata; Testudines; Emydidae.